Molecule: ribosomal RNA, 309 nt
Filed under: uncultured bacterium
Lineage: Bacteria
Description: partial 16S ribosomal RNA
Rfam family: Bacterial small subunit ribosomal RNA
Source: RNAcentral
AGAGACAGCAGUCGCCGCGGGAAUACGAAGGGUGCAAGCGUUACUCGGAAUUACUGGGCGUAAAGCGUGUGUAGGUGGUUGUUUAAGUCUGUCGUGAAAGCCCUGGGCUCAACCUGGGAAUUGCGAUGGAUACUGGGCGACUAGAGUGCGGUAGAGGAUAGUGGAAUUUCCGGUGUAGCAGUGAAAUGCGUAGAGAUCGGAAGGAACAUCUGUGGCGAAGGCGACUAUCUGGGCCAACACUGACACUGAGACACGAAAGCGUGGGGAGCAAACAGGAUUAGAUACCCGCGUAGUCCCUGUCUCUUAUAC